GGAGGUGGCUCAGGGUCAGGAGGUAGGUCUAGGAAUCAGGAGGUUCCUGGUUCGAUCCCUGGCUCCUCCA
Non-coding RNA from Gymnothorax javanicus (giant moray), 70 nucleotides. NCBI's taxonomy places the organism in Eukaryota, Metazoa, Chordata, Actinopteri, Anguilliformes, Muraenidae. The record is from the annotation of a GenBank genome assembly.